Molecule: long non-coding RNA, 505 nt
Organism: Papaver somniferum (opium poppy)
Lineage: Eukaryota; Viridiplantae; Streptophyta; Magnoliopsida; Ranunculales; Papaveraceae
Exons: 3
Source: RefSeq, a predicted model, not a curated record
CAUCAUCUUGUCGGCCCAUGAAGAUGUGCUUAUCGAUGAGGGUCGAAAGGUUACUGGUCAGAAAGCAGGCAGGAUGGUGCGGUUUGAUUGGUAUUGGAAUUCACUUCAGUGAAAGAAUGGUGUUUUAAUUAUGAGCAUGAAGUCUCGACUGAAGACGCCUCUUACUGAAUCUCCCACCAGUUCUCAGAAGCUGACUCGUGCUUAAAUUUCUGAAUCUGCUAUUAUUGCAAUUAUGAUUUUUCUUCUCAAAACCGAAGCUUCCGCUCUCUCUCUGCAGCGAAAUUCGAGAUGCUGCUGGGGUGUUACUAUCUUUGGCUCAAAUAUAGCAGCAAAAGAUUGACUCGGAAUCAUUCAUGUCUCAUGUCUGACUAUUCGGAACAAUGAGGAGGCUACAAUAUUAGUCGACAGAGGGUAUGUUAUGCGGUUUUGACAAAGAUGUGUGACGAGUUCCAAACUCCGCUUAAAAGUUGUGGAUAGCAAGCUUGAUCAAUUAGCUGAACAUAAG